Molecule: ribosomal RNA, 253 nt
Filed under: uncultured bacterium
Lineage: Bacteria
Description: partial 16S ribosomal RNA
Rfam family: Bacterial small subunit ribosomal RNA
Source: RNAcentral
UACGUAGGGUGCAAGCGUUGUCCGGAAUUAUUGGGCGUAAAGAGCUUGUAGGCGGUUUGUCGCGUCUGCUGUGAAAUUUCGGGGCUCAACCCCGAACUUGCAGUGGGUACGGGCAGACUAGAGUGUGGUAGGGGAGACUGGAAUUCCUGGUGUAGCGGUGAAAUGCGCAGAUAUCGGGAAGAACACCCGUGGCGAAGGCGGCUCUCUGGGACGGUACUGACGCUGAGGUGCGAAAGCGUGGGGAGCAAACAGG